Molecule: ribosomal RNA, 253 nt
Filed under: uncultured bacterium
Lineage: Bacteria
Description: partial 16S ribosomal RNA
Rfam family: Bacterial small subunit ribosomal RNA
Source: RNAcentral
UACGAAGGAUCCAAGCGUUAUCCGGAUUCAUUGGGUUUAAAGGGUGCGUAGGCGGGCUUAUAAGUCAGCGGUGAAAUCUCUCGGCUUAACCGAGAAACUGCCGUUGAUACUGUAGGUCUAGAGUACAGAUGAUGUUGGCGGAAUAUGACAUGUAGCGGUGAAAUGCUUAGAUAUGUCAUAGAACACCGAUUGCGAAGGCAGCUGACAAAACUGUAACUGACGCUGAGGCACGAAAGUGCGGGGAUCAAACAGG